Molecule: ribosomal RNA, 495 nt
Filed under: uncultured bacterium
Lineage: Bacteria
Description: bacterial SSU rRNA
Rfam family: Bacterial small subunit ribosomal RNA
Source: RNAcentral
GACCUGGCGGCAGCUUACACAUGCAGUCGAGCGGAAACGAUGAUAGCUUGCUAUCAGGCGUCGAGCGGCGGACGGGUGAGUAAUACUUAGGAAUCUACCUAGUAGUGGGGGAUAGCUCGGGGAAACUCGAAUUAAUACCGCAUACGACCUACGGGAGAAAGGGGGCAGUUUACUGCUCUCGCUAUUAGAUGAGCCUAAGUCGGAUUAGCUAGAUGGUGGGGUAAAGGCCUACCAUGGCGACGAUCUGUAGCUGGUCUGAGAGGAUGAUCAGCCACACCGGGACUGAGACACGGCCCGGACUCCUACGGGAGGCAGCAGUGGGGAAUAUUGGACAAUGGGGGCAACCCUGAUCCAGCCAUGCCGCGUGUGUGAAGAAGGCCUUUUGGUUGUAAAGCACUUUAAGCAGUGAAGAAGACUCCGUGGUUAAUACCCACGGACGAUGACAUUAGCUGCAGAAUAAGCACCGGCUAACUCUGUGCCAGCAGCCGCGGUAAU